GCCCUAGUAACGGCGAGUGAAGCGGCAACAGCUCAAAUUUGAAAUCUGGCUCUCUCUUUGGGGGUCCGAGUUGUAAUUUGUAGAGGGUGCUUCGGCGUUGGCCUUGGUCUAAGUUCUUUGGAACAGGACGUCAUAGAGGGUGAGAACCCCGUACGUGGCCAGUGGUCUUCGCCAUGUGAAGCCCCUUCGACGAGUCGAGUUGUUUGGGAAUGCAGCUCUAAAUGGGAGGUAUAUUUCUUCUAAAGCUAAAUACUGGCCAGAGACCGAUAGCGCACAAGUAGAGUGAUCGAAAGAUGAAAAGCACUUUGGAAAGAGAGUUAAAAAGCACGUGAAAUUGUUGAAAGGGAAGCGCUUGCAACCAGACUUGCCUGCAGUUGCUCAUCUAGGCUUUUGCCUGGUGCACUCUUCUGCGGGCAGGCCAGUAUCAGUUCGGGCGGUUGGAUAAAGACGUUGGGAAUGUAGCUCUCCUCGGAGAGUGUUAUAGCCCAGCGUGUAAUACAGCCAGCCUGGACUGAGGUCCGCGCUUCGGCUAGGAUACUGGCGUAAUGGUUGUAAGCGGCCCGUCUUGAAACACGGACCAAGGAGUCUAACAUCUAUGCGAGUGUUUGGGUGUCAAGCCCGGGCGCGUAAUGAAAGUGAACGGAGGUAGGAACCUUCUUGUAAGGCGCACUAUCGACCGAUCCUGAUGUCUUCGGAUGGAUUUGAGUAAGAGCAUAGCUGUUGGGACCCGAAAGAUGGUGAACUAUGCCUGAAUAGGGUGAAGUCAGAGGAAACUCUGAUGGAGGCUCGCAGCGGUUCUGACGUGCAAAUCGAUCGUCAAAUUUGGGCAUAGGGGCGAAAGACUAAUCGAA
This 851-nucleotide ribosomal RNA is filed under the name Massaria racemosae. RNAcentral describes it as "partial large subunit ribosomal RNA". It matches the Rfam family "Eukaryotic large subunit ribosomal RNA", at positions 77 to 939 of the family's 3401-position model. Lineage: Eukaryota; Fungi; Ascomycota; Dothideomycetes; Pleosporales; Massariaceae. The record is from RNAcentral.